AAGCAACAGCCAUGCCCUAAGGUUAUUGAAUGUGGUAUUUAUAUCUAAUAUUCCCUGAGCUACUAAAUUUCCAAAAUCAACCUCCGUCUUCACAGAGUAAACAAUAGAUGGCAUUACUUUGUAUACUGGUUUCUUUAUCCCAUGAUGUGUCUUCUGACUGAACCCAUUUUCCAGUUACCAGAGUUUUUCAACACCAGAAUCCUUGCAAUAUAACCUGACAGGGCUCCACUUGAACUUGAAAUACAAGCCACACUAAGCUUCCAGGUCUUUUUGUUAUUGUCAUUGUUGUUCAUGCUAAGACUGACUGUUCCAAGCUACUUCUGUGGACUUUGACUUAAAGAGAGGAGUGGGGAAUAUUCUGAAAUGCUAACUAACUUAAAAAUUUGAUAGAUUAAUUUCUAAAACAUAUACAAAGAUGUUGUAGAGACCAUACAACUGUUCCCUGGAAGGUUGGUACUAUUUAUUUCUUGUUGAAUGCUGUGUGAAGUUUGUGGAGUGUUUGAAUUCUGUCUCUAUCAUUUACUAAUAGAAUAUAUUUCAUCAAGUGUCUUAAAUAUUAUUAGCAUAUUUCUGGAUGUAUAAAAUGGGAAAGUAAUUGUCUCUAUUUCAAAAUUAUUGGAAGGAUUAGAUCUAAUGUGCUUAUAUCAUCUAUUUAAUAAAAAUACAUGUUCCCUUUAUUUUUUCAGAAGAAUAUGCCCUAGCUUUUUACAACAUCGACAGUAGUUCAGUUUCCGAGUGAGACAAAGCAAUUACUAGAAGAGUUGGAGAAGCAUUUCUUGUAACAAACUGAUUCUUCUGUAUCAAACCUGGAAAAAAAUCAUGAACCAUCUGACAUCGUGAACAGUCUGCAGUGGGCUAUGGUUUCUUGUCAAGUCUUAUUUCCUUAUCAUCCCAUUAAAUGUUGUCAUUUUG
This 912-nucleotide long non-coding RNA is filed under the name Homo sapiens (human). Its description in RNAcentral is "HSALNT0366636". The record is from RNAcentral. Lineage: Eukaryota; Metazoa; Chordata; Mammalia; Primates; Hominidae.